GACGAACGCUGGCGGCGUGCUUAACACAUGCAAGUCGAACGGAAAGGCCCUGCUUUGUGGGGUGCUCGAGUGGCGAACGGGUGAGUAACACGUGAGUAACCUGCCCUUGACUUUGGGAUAACUUCAGGAAACUGGGGCUAAUACCGGAUAGGAGCUCCUGCUGCAUGGUGGGGGUUGGAAAGUUUCGGCGGUUGGGGAUGGACUCGCGGCUUAUCAGCUUGUUGGUGGGGUAGUGGCUUACCAAGGCUUUGACGGGUAGCCGGCCUGAGAGGGUGACCGGCCACAUUGGGACUGAGAUACAGCCCAGACUCCUACGGGAGGCAGCAGUGGGGAAUAUUGCACAAUGGGCGGAAGCCUGAUGCAGCAACGCCGCGUGCGGGAUGACGGCCUUCGGGUUGUAAACCGCUUUCGCCUGUGACGAAGCGUGAGUGACGGUAAUGGGUAAAGAAGCACCGGCUAACUACGUG
RNAcentral lists this ribosomal RNA (467 nucleotides) under uncultured bacterium. RNAcentral describes it as "partial 16S ribosomal RNA". It matches the Rfam family "Bacterial small subunit ribosomal RNA", at positions 28 to 507 of the family's 1533-position model. The record is from RNAcentral.